AUGCCAGAAGAGGAGAAGGAAGACCAUGAGUGGGGACCAGAGCCGAAUCUUGAGGAUCGUUUUGAGGGUCUAAAUCUUCGUGGGGAGGAAGAGACAGAUCUUGAUUUUUCGGAGGAACUAGAAGACCUAAUCAAGGAAGUCCGGUGGCUGGCGAUCUUCAAGGUUCAUACCACGCGUAAUUUUAGCCACUCAGCGUUGUUCAACAACAUGAGAACGGCGUGGUCGCCGGCGCAACAGAUCUCAUUCAAGACGAAGGGGCCAAACCUGUUUAUAGUUCAGUUUCGCUGCUUGGGGGAUUGGAAGAGGGUCAUGGAGGCCGGCCCCUGGUUAUUCCGUGAUGCUGCUGUUGUUAUCCAGGAGUAUGAUGGUUUCAGUAAUGUUAAUGAUUACAAACUAGACAAAGUGCCGGUGUGGACCAGAAUAGAGGGGAUACCGGAAGGUUUAAUGAGAAGAAAGGAGUUGGCUGAGAAAGUCGCAAGAAAGGUUGGGGAGCCGCCCAUCACAGUGAUUGUUACCGAAGGCAUGAUAAAUCCAUCUAAAUAUCUCAGAGCUAGAGUCUACUUGGAUUUCAACAAGCCAUUGGUAAGGUUUGUGCCGAUAACAAUUAAGGAAAGAAAGAAGUAUCCAGUAUAUUAUGAAAAGCUGCCGGAUUUUUGCUUCAUUUGUGGUUUGAUGGGGCAUGUAGUGGAAGAGUGCGGAGAUGGCAUACAUGAUCUUGAUAAAUGUGAAUGGGGCGAAUGGCUCAAAUGGGAUUUUGUACCAAAUGGAACCAGACAAGGAGCUGGAAGGGGUGCAAGGGAUAGAGGAUAUAUGGAAGGCAAUGGGAGAGGUGCAGGAAGGGAAGACCGUGGCCGAGCUGAAGGAUAUGGUAGAGCUGGUAGAAGUGUUGUAGGGGGAGGAAGAGGUGUAUGGAAUAAUAUGGCCGGUGACGAGAGGGAGUUCACCUAG
This 948-nucleotide ribosomal RNA is filed under the name Triticum aestivum (bread wheat). RNAcentral's name for it is "partial small subunit ribosomal RNA". The record is from RNAcentral. Lineage: Eukaryota; Viridiplantae; Streptophyta; Magnoliopsida; Poales; Poaceae.